Molecule: ribosomal RNA, 480 nt
Filed under: uncultured Bacillaceae bacterium
Lineage: Bacteria; Bacillati; Bacillota; Bacilli; Caryophanales; Bacillaceae
Description: bacterial SSU rRNA
Rfam family: Bacterial small subunit ribosomal RNA
Source: RNAcentral
GUUAGCGGCGGACGGGUGAGUAACACGUGGGCAACCUGCCCGUAAGACCGGGAUAACUUCGGGAAACCGGAGCUAAUACCGGAUAACACCGAAGACCGCAUGGUCUUUGGUUGAAAGGCGGCUUUGGCUGUCACUUACGGAUGGGCCCGCGGCGCAUUAGCUAGUUGGUGAGGUAACGGCUCACCAAGGCGACGAUGCGUAGCCGACCUGAGAGGGUGAUCGGCCACACUGGGACUGAGACACGGCCCAGACUCCUACGGGAGGCAGCAGUAGGGAAUCUUCCGCAAUGGACGAAAGUCUGACGGAGCAACGCCGCGUGAGCGAAGAAGGUCUUCGGAUUGUAAAGCUCUGUUGUUAGGGAAGAACAAGUACCGUUCGAAUAGGGCGGUACCGUGACGGUACCUAACGAGAAAGCCACGGCUAACUACGUGCCAGCAGCCGCGGUAAUACGUAGGUGGCAAGCGUUGUCCGGAAUUAUUG